RNAcentral lists this unclassified non-coding RNA (388 nucleotides) under Dolichoglottis lyallii. Its description in RNAcentral is "partial contains external transcribed spacer and 18S ribosomal RNA". The record is from RNAcentral. Lineage: Eukaryota; Viridiplantae; Streptophyta; Magnoliopsida; Asterales; Asteraceae.
CAACUUCCACCUGGCUUWCCUCCUCAGUUAUGCGUCAAGGCUUGUAUCGCCUGGAGCGUAUUGUGGGUUUCCUGUGUUGCAUACCUAAUUGACGGUAUUGUUUAAAUUGAUUGAAGUCCCUUUUCGUCUUGUGUUGCAUAUGUGACGCAUGAUGAACCUUGAAGCGGUCUCUAUGAUCCAUCAUGUUGAUGCAAAUGUAUCGAUUGUGUGGCCCAUUGAGCAUUGCUUGGUCUCUUGGAUACGGAACAUGAUGUGGGCAUAAGGUCUCUUAUGAUCCUUGUUUUGCCCUCGUUCAGUGUUCUCUAGAACGACAGUUCACGCGCGCCUAGGCUCGUACCUGCGCGGUGUUCUAUGUCGAAGAGGAAUGCUACCUGGUUGAUCCUGCCAG